This 1343-nucleotide ribosomal RNA is filed under the name uncultured bacterium. RNAcentral's name for it is "16S ribosomal RNA". It matches the Rfam family "Bacterial small subunit ribosomal RNA", at positions 28 to 1378 of the family's 1533-position model. The record is from RNAcentral.
GACGAACGCUGGCGGCGUGCUUAACACAUGCAAGUCGAACGGAAAGGCCCUGCUUUUGUGGGGUGCUCGAGUGGCGAACGGGUGAGUAACACGUGAGUAACCUGCCCUUGACUUUGGGAUAACUUCAGGAAACUGGGGCUAAUACCGGAUAGGAGCUCCUGCUGCAUGGUGGGGGUUGGAAAGUUUCGGCGGUUGGGGAUGGACUCGCGGCUUAUCAGCUUGUUGGUGGGGUAGUGGCUUACCAAGGCUUUGACGGGUAGCCGGCCUGAGAGGGUGACCGGCCACAUUGGGACUGAGAUACGGCCCAGACUCCUACGGGAGGCAGCAGUGGGGAAUAUUGCACAAUGGGCGGAAGCCUGAUGCAGCAACGCCGCGUGCGGGAUGACGGCCUUCGGGUUGUAAGCCGCUUUCGCCUGUGACGAAGCGUGAGUGACGGUAAUGGGUAAAGAAGCACCGGCUAACUACGUGCCAGCAGCCGCGGUGAUACGUAGGGUGCGAGCGUUGUCCGGAUUUAUUGGGCGUAAAGGGCUCGUAGGUGGUUGAUCGCGUCGGAAGUGUAAUCUUGGGGCUUAACCCUGAGCGUGCUUUCGAUACGGGUUGACUUGAGGAAGGUAGGGGAGAAUGGAAUUCCUGGUGGAGCGGUGGAAUGCGCAGAUAUCAGGAGGAACACCAGUGGCGAAGGCGGUUCUCUGGGCCUUUCCUGACGCUGAGGAGCGAAAGCGUGGGGAGCGAACAGGCUUAGAUACCCUGGUAGUCCACGCUGUAAACGGUGGGUACUAGGUGUGGGGUCCAUUCCACGGGUUCCGUGCCGUAGCUAACGCUUUAAGUACCCCGCCUGGGGAGUACGGCCGCAAGGCUAAAACUCAAAGGAAUUGACGGGGCCCCGCACAAGCGGCGGAGCAUGCGGAUUAAUUCGAUGCAACGCGUAGAACCUUACCUGGGUUUGACAUGGAUCGGGAGCGCUCAGAGAUGGGUGUGCCUCUUUUGGGGUCGGUUCACAGGUGGUGCAUGGCUGUCGUCAGCUCGUGUCGUGAGAUGUUGGGUUAAGUCCCGCAACGAGCGCAACCCUUGUUCACUGUUGCCAGCACGUUAUGGUGGGGACUCAGUGGAGACCGCCGGGGUCAACUCGGAGGAAGGUGGGGAUGACGUCAAGUCAUCAUGCCCCUUAUGUCCAGGGCUUCACGCAUGCUACAAUGGCUGGUACAGAGAGUGGCGAGCCUGUGAGGGUGAGCGAAUCUCGGAAAGCCGGUCUCAGUUCGGGUUGGGGUCUGCAACUCGACCUCAUGAAGUCGGAGUCGCUAGUAAUCGCAGAUCAGCAACGCUGCGGUGAAUACGUUCCCGGG